UGGGGAAUAUUGGACAAUGGGCGCAAGCCUGAUCCAGCCAUGCCGCGUGUGUGAAGAAGGCCUUUUGGUUGUAAAGCACUUUAAGCGAGGAGGAGGCUACUUGGAUUAAUACUCUAGGAUAGUGGACGUUACUCGCAGAAUAAGCACCGGCUAACUCUGUGCCAGCAGCCGCGGUAAUACAGAGGGUGCGAGCGUUAAUCGGAUUUACUGGGCGUAAAGCGUGCGUAGGCGGCUUCUUAAGUCGGAUGUGAAAUCCCUGAGCUUAACUUAGGAAUUGCAUUCGAUACUGGGAAGCUAGAGUAUGGGAGAGGAUGGUAGAAUUCCAGGUGUAGCGAUGAAAUGCAUAGAGAUCUGGAGGAAUAACGAUGGCGAAGGCAGCCAUCUGGCCUAAUACUGACGCUGAGGUACGAAAGCAUGGGGGGCAAACAGG
Molecule: ribosomal RNA, 430 nt
Filed under: Gemmatimonadota bacterium
Lineage: Bacteria; Pseudomonadati; Gemmatimonadota
Description: Gemmatimonadetes bacterium partial 16S ribosomal RNA
Rfam family: Bacterial small subunit ribosomal RNA
Source: RNAcentral